CGUCAACCAAUUUGUACUAAUGCUGAGAAAUUUAAUAAUGAGAUUGGAUUCAUUAUUCGGAAUCAUGGUACAUUUCAUUAUAAAGAGUGGAGAAUGGUCCCAGAAGAUGUGAGAGCUCCAUUGCGACACUAUCUUUUGGAACAUUUUGACAUCAACUUGAAUGAUGAGACAACUAAAAAAUGCAUUGAUGAGCAAAUGAGAAAAGCUUGAAAGGGUCAUAAGUACAAGCCGCACUUAUAUUUCAAAGAAAUUGGAGGAGAAAAUGAUCUUGAGAUGGCCAAGAGCAAACGUCAUCCAAACUUAAAAGAAGAACAUCAAGAAGAUUGGAUGAUUUUGUGUGAUCGUUGGUGUUCUCCUGAAUUUAAGGAAAGAGCAUUAAAGAAUACUACCAAUCGAUCAAAGAGGAAAUGGGAGUCGAAAAAUGGUUCAGUCUCCACACCACGACAUCACAUUCGACGUGGAAUGGUGUUAACUUCUCCUACCGGUCAAAUUGAGACAUGGCGUCUAAAGCAUUAUGAUGCUGAGAAAGGAUGGACUGGAAUAGAGCU
Molecule: long non-coding RNA, 548 nt
Organism: Humulus lupulus (European hop)
Lineage: Eukaryota; Viridiplantae; Streptophyta; Magnoliopsida; Rosales; Cannabaceae
Exons: 3
Source: RefSeq, a predicted model, not a curated record